Molecule: non-coding RNA, 183 nt
Filed under: Acetonema longum
Lineage: Bacteria; Bacillati; Bacillota; Negativicutes; Acetonemataceae
Also listed under: 1 other name
Source: RNAcentral
CCUGAUGAAGGCGAAGCAGGUGCCCUACGGGGCUUAAUAGGGAAGACCGGUGAAAGACCGGCGCGGUCCCGCCACUGUAACGGGGAGUAAACCCAAGAGAUGCCACUGGGAGGAAUAAUCCUGGGAAGGUUUGGGCGAACGAGGAACCGGAGUCAGGAGAACUGCCUGUUUGACGAUCACCGU